GACGAACGCUGGCGGCGUGCUUAACACAUGCAAGUCGAACGGAAAGGCCCUGCUUUUGUGGGGUGCUCGAGUGGCGAACGGGUGAGUAACACGUGAGUAACCUGCCCUUGACUUUGGGAUAACUUCAGGAAACUGGGGCUAAUACCGGAUAGGAGCUCCUGCUGCAUGGUGGGGUUUGGAAAGUUUCGGCGGUUGGGGAUGGACUCGCGGCUUAUCAGCUUGUUGGUGGGGUAGUGGCUUACCAAGGCUUUGACGGGUAGCCGGCCUGAGAGGGUGACCGGCCACAUUGGGACUGAGAUACGGCCCAGACUCCUACGGGAGGCAGCAGUGGGGAAUAUUGCACAAUGGGCGGAAGCCUGAUGCAGCAACGCCGCGUGCGGGAUGACGGCCUUCGGGUUGUAAACCGCUUUCGCCUGUGACGAAGCGUGAGUGACAGUAAUGGGUAAAGAAGCACCGGCUAACUACGUG
This 468-nucleotide ribosomal RNA is filed under the name uncultured bacterium. RNAcentral's name for it is "partial 16S ribosomal RNA". It matches the Rfam family "Bacterial small subunit ribosomal RNA", at positions 28 to 507 of the family's 1533-position model. The record is from RNAcentral.